UACGUAGGGUGCAAGCGUUGUCCGGAAUUAUUGGGCGUAAAGAGCUCGUAGGCGGUUUGUCGCGUCUGCUGUGAAAACGCGAGGCUCAACCUCGCGCCUGCAGUGGGUACGGGCAGACUAGAGUGUGGUGGGGGAGAUUGGAAUUCCUGGUGUAGCGGUGGAAUGCGCAGAUAUCAGGAGGAACACCGAUGGCGAAGGCAGAUCUCUGGGCCAUUACUGACGCUGAGGAGCGAAAGCGUGGGGAGCGAACAGG
Molecule: ribosomal RNA, 253 nt
Filed under: uncultured bacterium
Lineage: Bacteria
Description: partial 16S ribosomal RNA
Rfam family: Bacterial small subunit ribosomal RNA
Source: RNAcentral